This 2928-nucleotide ribosomal RNA is filed under the name Klebsiella sp. MPUS7. RNAcentral's name for it is "23S ribosomal RNA". It matches the Rfam family "Bacterial large subunit ribosomal RNA". Lineage: Bacteria; Pseudomonadati; Pseudomonadota; Gammaproteobacteria; Enterobacterales; Enterobacteriaceae. The record is from RNAcentral.
GGGUUGUGAGGUUAAGCGACUAAGCGUACACGGUGGAUGCCCUGGCAGUCAGAGGCGAUGAAGGACGUGCUAAUCUGCGAAAAGCGUCGGUAAGGUGAUAUGAACCGUUAUAGCCGGCGAUGUCCGAAUGGGGAAACCCAGUGCAAUUCGUUGCACUAUCGUUUGAUGAAUACAUAGUCAAACGAGGCGAACCGGGGGAACUGAAACAUCUAAGUACCCCGAGGAAAAGAAAUCAACCGAGAUUCCCCCAGUAGCGGCGAGCGAACGGGGAGCAGCCCGGAGUCUGAAUCAGCUUGUGUGUUAGUGGAAGCGUCUGGAAAGUCGCAGGGUACAGGGUGAUACUCCCGUACACUAAAACGCACAGGCUGUGAACUCGAAGAGUAGGGCGGGACACGUGGUAUCCUGUCUGAAUAUGGGGGGACCAUCCUCCAAGGCUAAAUACUCCUGACUGACCGAUAGUGAACCAGUACCGUGAGGGAAAGGCGAAAAGAACCCCGGCGAGGGGAGUGAAAAAGAACCUGAAACCGUGUACGUACAAGCAGUAGGAGCCUCUUUAUGGGGUGACUGCGUACCUUUUGUAUAAUGGGUCAGCGACUUAUAUUCUGUAGCAAGGUUAACCGUAUAGGGGAGCCGCAGGGAAACCGAGUCUUAACUGGGCGUUAAGUUGCAGGGUAUAGACCCGAAACCCGGUGAUCUAGCCAUGGGCAGGUUGAAGGUUGGGUAACACUAACUGGAGGACCGAACCGACUAAUGUUGAAAAAUUAGCGGAUGACUUGUGGCUGGGGGUGAAAGGCCAAUCAAACCGGGAGAUAGCUGGUUCUCCCCGAAAGCUAUUUAGGUAGCGCCUCGUGAACUCAUCUUCGGGGGUAGAGCACUGUUUCGGCUAGGGGGUCAUCCCGACUUACCAACCCGAUGCAAACUACGAAUACCGAAGAAUGUUAUCACGGGAGACACACGGCGGGUGCUAACGUCCGUCGUGAAGAGGGAAACAACCCAGACCGCCAGCUAAGGUCCCAAAGUCAUGGUUAAGUGGGAAACGAUGUGGGAAGGCCCAGACAGCCAGGAUGUUGGCUUAGAAGCAGCCAUCAUUUAAAGAAAGCGUAAUAGCUCACUGGUCGAGUCGGCCUGCGCGGAAGAUGUAACGGGGCUAAACCAUGCACCGAAGCUGCGGCAGCGACACUAUGUGUUGUUGGGUAGGGGAGCGUUCUGUAAGCCGUUGAAGGUGGCCUGUGAGGGUUGCUGGAGGUAUCAGAAGUGCGAAUGCUGACAUAAGUAACGAUAAUGCGGGUGAAAAACCCGCACGCCGGAAGACCAAGGGUUCCUGUCCAACGUUAAUCGGGGCAGGGUGAGUCGACCCCUAAGGCGAGGCCGAAAGGCGUAGUCGAUGGGAAACAGGUUAAUAUUCCUGUACUCGGUGUUACUGCGAAGGGGGGACGGAGAAGGCUAUGUUGGCCGGGCGACGGUUGUCCCGGUUUAAGCAUGUAGGCGGAUGUUCCAGGUAAAUCCGGAACGUUAUUAACGCUGAGGUGUGAUGACGAGGCACUACGGUGCUGAAGUGACAAAUGCCCUGCUUCCAGGAAAAGCCUCUAAGCAUCAGGUAACAUCAAAUCGUACCCCAAACCGACACAGGUGGUCAGGUAGAGAAUACCAAGGCGCUUGAGAGAACUCGGGUGAAGGAACUAGGCAAAAUGGUGCCGUAACUUCGGGAGAAGGCACGCUGAUAUGUAGGUGAAGUGGUUUACCCAUGGAGCUGAAAUCAGUCGAAGAUACCAGCUGGCUGCAACUGUUUAUUAAAAACACAGCACUGUGCAAACACGAAAGUGGACGUAUACGGUGUGACGCCUGCCCGGUGCCGGAAGGUUAAUUGAUGGGGUUAUCCGUAAGGAGAAGCUCUUGAUCGAAGCCCCGGUAAACGGCGGCCGUAACUAUAACGGUCCUAAGGUAGCGAAAUUCCUUGUCGGGUAAGUUCCGACCUGCACGAAUGGCGUAAUGAUGGCCAGGCUGUCUCCACCCGAGACUCAGUGAAAUUGAACUCGCUGUGAAGAUGCAGUGUACCCGCGGCAAGACGGAAAGACCCCGUGAACCUUUACUAUAGCUUGACACUGAACACUGGUCCUUGAUGUGUAGGAUAGGUGGGAGGCUUUGAAGCGUGGACGCCAGUCUGCGUGGAGCCAUCCUUGAAAUACCACCCUUUAAUGGCUGGUGUUCUAACGUGGGCCCCUAAUCGGGGUUGCGGACAGUGUCUGGUGGGUAGUUUGACUGGGGCGGUCUCCUCCUAAAGAGUAACGGAGGAGCACGAAGGUCAGCUAAUCCUGGUCGGACAUCAGGAGGUUAGUGCAAUGGCAUAAGCUGGCUUGACUGCGAGCGUGACGGCGCGAGCAGGUGCGAAAGCAGGUCAUAGUGAUCCGGUGGUUCUGAAUGGAAGGGCCAUCGCUCAACGGAUAAAAGGUACUCCGGGGAUAACAGGCUGAUACCGCCCAAGAGUUCAUAUCGACGGCGGUGUUUGGCACCUCGAUGUCGGCUCAUCACAUCCUGGGGCUGAAGUAGGUCCCAAGGGUAUGGCUGUUCGCCAUUUAAAGUGGUACGCGAGCUGGGUUUAGAACGUCGUGAGACAGUUCGGUCCCUAUCUGCCGUGGGCGCUGGAGAAUUGAGGGGGGCUGCUCCUAGUACGAGAGGACCGGAGUGGACGCAUCACUGGUGUUCGGGUUGUCAUGCCAAUGGCAUUGCCCGGUAGCUAAAUGCGGAAGAGAUAAGUGCUGAAAGCAUCUAAGCACGAAACUUGCCCCGAGAUGAGUUCUCCCUGACUCCUUGAGAGUCCUGAAGGAACGUUGAAGACGACGACGUUGAUAGGCCGGGUGUGUAAGCGCAGCGAUGCGUUGAGCUAACCGGUACUAAUGAACCGUGAGGCUUAACCUUACAACGCCGAAG